Molecule: long non-coding RNA, 1177 nt
Organism: Zophobas morio
Lineage: Eukaryota; Metazoa; Arthropoda; Insecta; Coleoptera; Tenebrionidae
Exons: 4
Source: RefSeq, a predicted model, not a curated record
UUUAUUCAUGUUUGUUUACUUUAGAACUAAAAUUCCUCAUAAUUUAUAAUAACAAUUAAACUUCGGAAUAACAUUUUCUCAUGUCUAAACACCAUCUAAUUAUAAUUGGCAGUUAUGCAAACACUAACGCCCGCCGGAUUACCUUGCAUCAAGCAGGUUUCUAUUAUUUUUUCGAUGUCUGAAGAUAUAUUUAAACCGUUAAAAUUUCUAAAUUUAUUACAUAGAUUCCGACACGCAAAAUGAACAGUUUUGUGUUUUGUUUAUUAAUCGUAGUGGCUCUUGGUAGCUGCCUUAAACUUCCUUCCAGUUUCAAGAAAUGCGAUCGAAAGAGAACCGAUUUCAACCAAUGUUUAAGUGAAGCUAUCUAUGGUGCCCUUAGAAUUCUAAAGAAACAUUUGCCUUCUCAUGGUUUACCAAGUUUGUUCGAUGUCGAAUUUCCAGACCUUGUGGCUACAUUUGGAAAUUGUACCUACGGGCUGCUACAGAAAUAUGAUCAAUUUAGGUUAAUCGGUCUAUCCCAACCAGAGAAUAUAGACGCUAAAUUAGAUUUCGGUCCUUUGACUAGUACUUUGACCAUAGCAGCUACUUAUCCUCAGCUUACGCUAGAAAUUGAAUGUGAGGCUAAAGGUACUAUUGUUGUCUUACCGGUAAAUGUCAUAACACCUGUCGCAAAUAUUAUUGAUCACCCAACUUUCACUUUUACAUUUGAACUGGAAGAGUACGAAAAAGGUACUACUUACUUUCGAAUAAUCGAUUCCAAACUAGACAUGCAAGUAGAGGGCAUUAAAUUCGGCUUCGAACAACUCUUUUCCGACAAAGUUCUGAACGAAAAGUUCAAUUCUGCUAUGAGUGCAAAAUGGCGAUUAGUUUUUGCUAUUUUUAAAAGCUUUGAAGCGAUUUUCGCUCCACGGUUUGGUUCAAUCUUUAACACUUUACUUAAAAAAGUUCCUGUUGCUGAACUUUUUGAUUGAGAUGUUUUGUUUAAACAUUGUUACAUUUGCAUAAAUUGCAGUCUAGAAUAAUAAAAUCUUGUACGUUAUUGUUUUAUUUGUCUUCACAUAUAUUAUAUAACAACAGAUAUACAUAAUAAUAAGUGAACAUUUACAUAACCACUUCUUUAGUGAGGAGGUUGUGCUAUUUUUAGAUCAUGUUGUCCAAAACAUACAAAGUUAUUUUA